GCGGGAGUAACUCAGCCGGUAGAGUGUCUGCUUCCCAAGCAGGAUGUCGCGGGUUCGAGCCCCGUCUCCCGCUCCA
Molecule: transfer RNA, 76 nt
Filed under: Chloroflexota bacterium
Lineage: Bacteria; Bacillati; Chloroflexota
Also listed under: 2 other names
Description: Chloroflexi bacterium tRNA-Gly
Rfam family: tRNA
About the family: Transfer RNA (tRNA) molecules are approximately 80 nucleotides in length. Their secondary structure includes four short double-helical elements and three loops (D, anti-codon, and T loops).
Source: RNAcentral